Molecule: ribosomal RNA, 501 nt
Filed under: uncultured bacterium
Lineage: Bacteria
Description: partial 16S ribosomal RNA
Rfam family: Bacterial small subunit ribosomal RNA
Source: RNAcentral
AUUGAACGCUGGCGGCAUGCCUUACACAUGCAAGUCGAGCGGCAGCACGGGUGCUUGCACCUGGUGGCGAGUGGCGAACGGGUGAGUAAUACAUCGGAACGUACCUUAUCGUGGGGGAUAACGCAGCGAAAGCUGUGCUAAUACCGCAUACGCCCUGAGGGGGAAAGCGGGGGAUCGCAAGACCUCGCGCGAUUAGAGCGGCCGAUGCCUGAUUAGCUUGUUGGUGGGGUAAAAGCCCACCAAGGCGAAGAUCAGUAGCUGGUCUGAGAGGACCAUGAGCCACGAUGGGAGUGAGACACGGCCCAGACUCCUACGGGAGGCAGCAGUGGGGAAUUUUGGACAAUGGGGGCAACCCUGAUCCAGCAAUGCCGCGUGAGUGAAGAAGGCCUUCGGGUUGUCAAGCUCUUUUGUCAGGGAAGAAACACCGGCUCUAACACAGUCCGGGAAUGACGGUACCUGAAGAAUAAGCACCGGCUAACUACGUGCCAGCAGCCGCGGUAA